This 253-nucleotide ribosomal RNA is filed under the name uncultured bacterium. RNAcentral's name for it is "partial 16S ribosomal RNA". It matches the Rfam family "Bacterial small subunit ribosomal RNA", at positions 524 to 776 of the family's 1533-position model. The record is from RNAcentral.
UACGGAGGAGGCAAGCGUUAUCCGGAAUUAUUGGGCGUAAGGCGUCCGUAGGCGGUUGGCCAAGUCUGCUGUCAAAGGGUGGGGCUUAACCUCAUAAAGGCAAUGGAAACUGGCGAGCUAGAGUGCGGUAGGGGUAGGGGGAAUUCCCAGUGUAGCGGUGAAAUGCGUAGAGAUUGGGAAGAACAUCGGUGGCGAAAGCGCUCUGCUGGGCCUGCACUGACACUGAGGGACGAAAGCUAGGGGAGCGAAAGGG